Molecule: small nucleolar RNA, 137 nt
Organism: Ornithorhynchus anatinus (platypus)
Lineage: Eukaryota; Metazoa; Chordata; Mammalia; Monotremata; Ornithorhynchidae
Source: RefSeq, a predicted model, not a curated record
CCCCUCUCAGGACCGUACCUGGAGAGUUUCCUGUACUCAACCAGUCUCGGCUCGGGAGGGAGAGUCAAGCAGAAGCCUACCCAUUCCAUUCCUAGCUUGGGCAGUGGCUAGUGAAUAGAAGGCAAUCUGCUACAAGU